UGCCAGCUGUAGAUUUCAACGACAAGACUGACUGUGAAAUUCCAUGCAAUACCAACAAUGAUGUUGCUGAAUAUGUAGCAAUUGAGGAAAACCUUGAAGAACCAGCAGUUGAAGAAAAACAUGAAGAACCAACAGUUGAGGAGAAACCUGAAGAACUAGCAGUUGAAGAGAAACCCGAAAAACCAACAAUUGAGGAGAAACAUGAAGAACCAAUAGUUGAGAAGAAACCUGAAGAACCAGUAGUUGAGGAGAAACCAGAAGAACCACUAAUUGAAGAGGAGAAAUCUGAAAGGGUAACUUUCCUAGAAAAGGUGAGGAUCAAGCAUUGUCAAAAGGUUUAUCCAUCUUAUUAGUUGUGUAUGUGCGACGAUUCACAUCUGCUUACUUAUUGAAAGACUAAGUGAAACUUCAAAAUUCUUGCAGAGUAUGCUAGUUGUAGACUCGAACGACAAGACUGACAGUGAAAUUCCAUGCAAUACCAACAAAGAUGCUGCCCACUUUCCCGAAGUUGAGGCAAACCCUGAAGAACCAGCAGUUGAAGGAAAACCUAAAGAACCCGUUGAUGAAGAGAAACCAGAUGUACCAGUGGUUGAGAAACCUGAAAAACAAAUGGUUGAGGAGAAACUUGAAGAACCAAUGAUUGAGGAGAAAUCUGACGAACUAGUCGAGGAGAAAUCUCAACAACCAGCGGCUGAAAAGAAACCUGAAGAACCAGCAGCUAAAGAAUCACUUAAAGAGCUAGCAGGGGAGGAAACAACUGAAGAACUAGCACUUGAAGAGAAACUUAGAGAACCAACAGUUGAAGAACUAGUUCUUGAAGAUAAACCUGAAAACCCAGAAAAUGAAGAGGAUAAACUUGAAACAGUAACUCUCCAGGAAAAGGUAAGAAACAAGCAGUGUCACAGAGUUUAUCCAUCCUAUUAGCUCUACAUAUGCAAUGAAUUCACAUCUGUUUAUCCACUGAAAGACUAAGUGAAACUUUAAAUUUUUCUUGCAGAAUUUACCAAUUGCAGACUCAAACGACAAGACUGACAAUGCAACUCCCUGCAAUAACAACAAUGAUAUUGCUGACUCUGCAGCAGUUAAGGAAAAAACUGAAGAACCAGUAGUUGAGGAAAAACAUGAAGAACCGGCAACUGAAGAGAAAUCUGAAGAAUCAGAAUUUAUGAAAAAAACUGAAGAACCAGCGGUUGAGGUAAAACCUGAAGAACCAUCAGUGGAAGAGAAGCCUGAAGAACCAGCGGUUAGGAAAAAUCCUGAAGAACCAGCAGUUAAUGAGGAACCUGCAAAAUCAGCAACGGAAGAGAAACCUGAAGAACCAAUUGCUGAGGAGAAACUUGAAGAACCAACUCUUAAAGAGAAACCUGGAAAACCAGUAAUUGAAGAAACACCUGAAGAACCAACACUGGAAGUAACACCUAAAGAACAAGCAGAGAAACCUGAAGAACCAGUUGAAGAGGAAAAAACUGACAAGGUAACUCUUUUGGAAAAGGUGAGCAUCAAACACUGUCACAAAUUUUUGCCAUCAUAUUAGUUCUGUAUGUGCAACAAUUCACAUCUAAUUAUCCAUUGAAAGACUAAGUGAAACUUUAAUUCUUCUUGCAGAAUAUACCAGUUGUAGAUUUCAAUGAUACGACUGACAGUGAAAUUCCAUGCAAUACCAACGACGAUGUUGCUGAAGACGUAGCAGUUGAGGAAAACCUUGAAGAACCAUCAGUUGAGGAGAAACCUGAAGAAUUAGCGGUUGAAGAGAAACCUGAAAAACCAGCAAUUGAGGAGAAACGUGAAGAACCAAUAAUUGAGAAGAAACCUAAAGAACCAGCAGUUGAGGAGAAACCUGAAGAACAAACCGUUGAAGAGAGACUUGAAGAACCAACAAUUGAAGAUGAGAAACUUGAAGAACCAACAAAUGAAGAUGAGAAACUUGAAAGGGUAACUCUCCUAGGAAAGGUGAGGAUCUAGCACUGUCACAAAGUUUGUCCAUCCUAAUAGUUUUAUACGUGCAAGACUUUCAGAUCUGCUUAUUGAAAAACUAAAUGAAACUUUAAAUUCUUCUUACAGAAUAUGCAAGUUGUAGACUCCAUCGACAAGACUGACUGUGAAAUUCCAUGCAACACCAACAAUGAUGUUGCUUACCAUCCAGCAGUUGAGGAAAAUCUAGAAAAAACAGCAAUUGUGGAAACAACUGAUGAACCAGUGGUUGAAGAGAAACCUGAUGUACCAGCGAUUAAGGAGAAACCUGAAGUACCAAAUAUUGAGCAGAAACUUGAAGAGUUAGCAGGAGAGGAAACACAUGAAGAACUAGCAGUUGAAGAGAAACUAGAAGAACCAAUUACUGAAGAGACACCUGCAGAACUAGUUAUAGAAGAGAAACCUGAAAACCCAGCAGUUGAAGAGGAGAAACCUGAAACAGACGCUCUCCAAACGAAGGUCAGGAUUAAACAUUGUCACAAAAUUUAUCCAUCCUAUUAGCUUUAUAUGUGCAAGGAACUCACAUAUGCUAAUCUAUUGAAAGACUAAGUCAAACUUUAAAUUUUUCUUGCAGAAUAUGCCAAUUGUAGACUCAAAGGACAAGAUUGACAUUGAAAGUCCAGGCAAUAUCAACAAUGAUGGUGCUGACUAUCCAGAAGUUGAAGAUAAACCUGAAGAACUAGCAGUUGAAGAAAAACAUGAAGAACAAGCAAUUGAAGAGAAGCCUGAAGAACCAGCAAUUAAGGAAAAAGCUGAUGAACCAGCAGUGCAAGAAAAACUUGAAGAACCAGCUGUGGAAAAGAAACCUGAAGAACCAGUGGCUACGGAGAAACCUGAAGAACCAGCAAUUAAGGAAAAAGCUGAUGAACCAGCAGCGCAGGAGAAACCUGAAGAACCAGCUGUGGGAAAGAAACCUGAAGAACCAGUGGCUACGGAGAAACCUAAAGAACCAGCAAUUAAGGAAAAAGCUGAUGAACCAGCAGUGCAAGAGAAACCUGAAGAACCAGCUGUGGAAAAGAUACCUGAAGAACCAGCAGUCGAGGAGAAAUUUGACGAACCAGCAGUUGGAGAGAAAUCAGAAGAACCAGUAGUUGAACAAACACCUGCAGGACCAGCAUGGGAAGAAACACCUAAAGAACUAGCAUUUGAAGAGAAACCUGAAGAACCAGCAGUUGAAGAAACACCUGAAGAACCAGCAGUUGAAGAAACACCUGAAGAACUAGCAGUUGAAAAGAACCCUGAAAAAACAGCAGUCGGAGAGAAACAUGAAAA
This 3243-nucleotide long non-coding RNA is filed under the name Nicotiana tabacum (common tobacco). RNAcentral describes it as "long non-coding RNA (NTAB_LNC000707)". The record is from RNAcentral. Lineage: Eukaryota; Viridiplantae; Streptophyta; Magnoliopsida; Solanales; Solanaceae.